Molecule: ribosomal RNA, 605 nt
Filed under: Dicathais orbita
Lineage: Eukaryota; Metazoa; Mollusca; Gastropoda; Neogastropoda; Muricidae
Description: bacterial SSU rRNA
Rfam family: Bacterial small subunit ribosomal RNA
Source: RNAcentral
GUUAAGUAGACCGCCUGAGGAGUACGGUCGCAAGAUUAAAACUCAAAUGAAUUGACGGGGGCCCGCACAAGCGGUGGAGCAUGUGGUUUAAUUCGAUGCAACGCGAAGAACCUUACCUACUCUUGACAUCCAGAGAAGCCAGCGGAGACGCAGGUGUGCCUUCGGGAGCUCUGAGACAGGUGCUGCAUGGCUGUCGUCAGCUCGUGUUGUGAAAUGUUGGGUUAAGUCCCGCAACGAGCGCAACCCUUAUCCUUGUUUGCCAGCGAGUAAUGUCGGGAACUCCAGGGAGACUGCCGGUGAUAAACCGGAGGAAGGUGGGGACGACGUCAAGUCAUCAUGGCCCUUACGAGUAGGGCUACACACGUGCUACAAUGGCGCAUACAGAGGGCAGCAAGCCAGCGAUGGUGAGCGAAUCCCAAAAAGUGCGUCGUAGUCCGGAUUGGAGUCUGCAACUCGACUCCAUGAAGUCGGAAUCGCUAGUAAUCGUAGAUCAGAAUGCUACGGUGAAUACGUUCCCGGGCCUUGUACACACCGCCCGUCACACCAUGGGAGUGGGCUGCAAAAGAAGUGGGUAGUUUAACCUUUCGGGGAGGACGCUCACCACU